UAAACCAUGAACUAGGAAGCUCUUUACUUCCUUAUCGUUCCAAGUCCUGCCUCCCCUACCCUGCAGGAAACUCUGGAAAUACGUUCUGGAAAAAAUGGAGGCAUUUUUAUGACUCUCUCCUCACCUAAACCUGCUGGGCCAGGACAGAGCCCAGACCCUCAGGCCCUGACCGUUAUUCUACAGUUUGGACCUGGCCACUCCCCAGCUUUGAUGUUGUCUUGCUAAAUGUCCCUGAGUCACUGGCAGGCUCUGAUCUCUCCAGCACCUAAUAACUCAAACAGCCUGAAGUAGUGAGCAGCUAAUCAGCUCGGCAGCCCUGGCAGCUGCACAAUGAAGCCGAAGAGAAAGGGGGUCCCUUUCAUUCUUAUGGUCUUGUUCUACAACCUGAUGGCCGAGGCAGACACCAUCAUCCGCUGGCCAGGAGGGGUCUCUGGAGGAGUUGAGAAGGGUCAACUUGGCCCUGGACUGAGAUGGCCAUCUGCAGGUUAUCCAGGUUCCACUAGGAAGCCCUGUGACAUCAGUCCAGCGCAGAAGCGUGUGCUCUCAACAGCGAAGGAAAGCCUGAGCCAGGACACUGUUCACCUGGAGGACAUGGAAGGAGGGCUAUCAGGAUGCUGGAGGCUGCAGAGCCGAGUAAGGAGAGGAGAGUCUGUGUUUGGCCAUCAUCUGCAGGAGCCUUGAAGUGUCAUCCUCCAUACUGUGGCUCCUUUAUGCUCUCCCCAUUUGGUGGCCACCGCAGGGCUCCAGACGAGACUGAGGAGCAUUGAUUGACAUGGACAUAUUAAUUGGCUUUGCUUAUCCUCAAUUCUAGUCCCCUCUCCUCUCCUCUGCUCUGUCUGCAGGGAAGCCAAGCCCUGAAGGCCACCUGUCUCUGCUUGCCAGCUGCUUCUGACUGGCUUCAGCCAAUUAGAGUUACUGGUGGGAGAUGGGGGGCAGGGAAGGGGGGAACUUACUGUAUUUGUUCCUCUUUCCCAGCAUCUCAGCCAAUGGCUGCAGUGGCCUCUCCUCUGUGGGUCCAGGCCCCAGGGAAGCCCUUCCAGCAGCAGUAGGGCCUUACAGCAAUUCUAGCCCUGUGCCAAACAGGGCUCGAUUUUGCUCUGCUCACACUAACUCUCUUGCAAUCCCCCCCUGGGGAUUGUAGCCACCUGUAACAGUGUAAUAAUCUCUGAAUUGUGUCUUCUAUUUUACUUCUCAGAAAUUCCACCUCUUGUGUCCCAAUUCCCUGAAUUACAUGUUUGGAAUACUUAAUUUUUGCUUUUAUGACUGGAUCCUGAAUGAUAUACCCCCAACAAGGUCAUUGAAUGAGGUUCCCGUUCCCAACCAAUCUGUAGCAGGUGGUGGGAAAGGGUGCCGACGCGAUGUCCUCACCCUGCAGAGAAGCACUUGUGGAAAGCCCAGGUCUGGCUGUCUGGCCGGCCGAGCCCUCCCUCUAGCGGCCCUCAACUCUGUUUCAUUGUGAAGAUUCCCACUCUACCUCUUUAGGGGAAAGUGAGGCAGACAGCCAGCCCUUCCCUGUUGAUUAGGAAACUGGGCUCAGAGCCUGGGCUGUCCCAGUGGCUUUACAGGUACCUCCUCUGCAUGAAUUCUGUUUGUUAGGUAACAGAAGAGAUCAGAGAAAUAACAAAGAACUGAAAUCUGCUUCUCCAGAGCCCUACCCACCCCCCAACACUGAUUUGAUUUUGAUUCAAAUCUGCCUUUUCUCUGGCUCCUUCCUGGUUGUUGCUAAAUGUCUGGAGCUAGAAAGGUCAUUGCAAAUGCCCCAUUAAGAAGCAGGCAUUGUGGACCUGGGUGUCUGCUGAAAACAGAAAGCAGAGGAACUCAAAAAGUGAGGGGAUGGUGGCAUCAGUGCUGGAGCACACAUUUUGUGAGACAAGCCCCCUUGCCAAGUGACGCUUUAAAGCCCUUUCAGCUCACGUGCUUCAAGAAGAAAAUAACUAAACUUUUCUGUCAAGGAUCACCUGGCUCUCCACAGCCCCUUACUUAGGAUGUUUUGUUCCCACUGGAGCAUGUGAUUGGAAAACAAAGGUAAAUGGGAGCAAUUUAUUCUGCAUUAUUUUUCCCCCAGCAGGAUUAAAGCCACCUCAGCCAUAAAGAGUUUACAAACUCAAAAAAGAUAAUAACUUCCCUUCUCACGGCCCGGUCACAGGGAGGGAAUGCAUGUUUCCAAUCAGCUGAGAAUGUAACUCCAAUGGUAGGUUUUAUUUCAGUUUAAUCCGCCUGUGGGUUCAUGUUAAAGGUAAGAGGAAUCACAGCCUUGCAAUGGGAACUGAGUUCAUUAAAUCUAGCA
Long non-coding RNA from Cavia porcellus (domestic guinea pig), 2287 nucleotides. RefSeq lists it as uncharacterized. The record is from RefSeq and is a predicted model, not a curated record. The transcript is spliced from 4 exons. Lineage: Eukaryota; Metazoa; Chordata; Mammalia; Rodentia; Caviidae.